RNAcentral lists this ribosomal RNA (492 nucleotides) under uncultured bacterium. RNAcentral describes it as "partial 16S ribosomal RNA". It matches the Rfam family "Bacterial small subunit ribosomal RNA", at positions 28 to 507 of the family's 1533-position model. The record is from RNAcentral.
GGUGAACGCUGGCGGUAGGCCUAACACAUGCAAGUCGAACGGCAGCACAGUAAGAGCUUGCUCUUACGGGUGGCGAGUGGCGGACGGGUGAGGAAUACAUCGGAAUCUACUUUUUCGUGGGGGAUAACGUAGGGAAACUUACGCUAAUACCGCAUACGACCUACGGGUGAAAGCAGGGGAUCUUCGGACCUUGCGCGAUUGAAUGAGCCGAUGUCGGGUUAGCUAGUUGGCGGGGUAAAGGCCCACCAAGGCGACGAUCCGUAGCUGGUCUGAGAGGAUGAUCAGCCACACUGGAACUGAGACACGGUCCAGACUCCUACGGGAGGCAGCAGUGGGGAAUAUUGGACAAUGGGCGCAAGCCUGAUCCAGCCAUACCGCGUGGGUGAAGAAGGCCUUCGGGUUGUAAAGCCCUUUUGUUGGGAAAGAAAAGCAGCAGGUUAAUACCCCGCUGUUCUGACGGUACCCAAAGAAUAAGCACCGGCUAACUUCGUG